This 253-nucleotide ribosomal RNA is filed under the name uncultured bacterium. RNAcentral's name for it is "partial 16S ribosomal RNA". It matches the Rfam family "Bacterial small subunit ribosomal RNA", at positions 524 to 776 of the family's 1533-position model. The record is from RNAcentral.
UACGGAGGGGGUUAGCGUUGUUCGGAAUUACUGGGCGUAAAGCGCACGUAGGCGGAUUGGAAAGUUGGGGGUGCAAGCCCGUGGCUCAACCACGGAAUUGCGUUUGAAACUGCUUAGCUUGAGUACAGGAGAGGAAAGCGGAAUUCCCAGUGUAGCGGUGAAAUGCAUUGAUAUUGGGAAGAACAUCUGUGGCGAAGGCGGCUUUCUGGUCUGUUACUGACGCUGAGAUACGAAAGCCAGGGGAGCAAAGGGG